This 73-nucleotide transfer RNA is filed under the name Enterococcus phage 113. Its description in RNAcentral is "tRNA-Gly". It matches the Rfam family "tRNA". From Rfam's summary of the family: Transfer RNA (tRNA) molecules are approximately 80 nucleotides in length. Their secondary structure includes four short double-helical elements and three loops (D, anti-codon, and T loops). Further hydrogen bonds mediate the characteristic L-shaped molecular structure. tRNAs have two regions of fundamental functional importance: the anti-codon, which is responsible for specific mRNA codon recognition, and the 3' end, to which the tRNAs corresponding amino acid is attached (by aminoacyl-tRNA synthetases). tRNAs cope with the degeneracy of the genetic code in two manners: having more than one tRNA (with a specific anti-codon) for a particular amino acid; and 'wobble' base-pairing, i.e. permitting non-standard base-pairing at the 3rd anti-codon position. The record is from RNAcentral. RNAcentral also lists the same sequence under 2 other names. Lineage: Duplodnaviria; Heunggongvirae; Uroviricota; Caudoviricetes; Herelleviridae.
UGUGGAUUUAGUAUAAGGGUAGUAUCUUUGGCUUCCGUCAAAAAGGUGCGGGUUCGAAUCCUGCAAUCCAUAU